UAAAACGACUCUCGGCAACGGAUAUCUCGGCUCUCGCAUCGAUGAAGAACGUAGCGAAAUGCGAUACUUGGUGUGAAUUGCAGAAUCCCGUGAACCAUCGAGUCUUUGAACGCAAGUUGCGCCCCAAGCCUUCUGGCCGAGGGCACGUCUGCNUGGGUGUCACA
Molecule: ribosomal RNA, 164 nt
Filed under: Descurainia gonzalezii
Lineage: Eukaryota; Viridiplantae; Streptophyta; Magnoliopsida; Brassicales; Brassicaceae
Description: 5.8S ribosomal RNA
Rfam family: 5.8S ribosomal RNA
About the family: 5.8S ribosomal RNA (5.8S rRNA) is a component of the large subunit of the eukaryotic ribosome. It is transcribed by RNA polymerase I as part of the 45S precursor that also contains 18S and 28S rRNA. Functionally, it is thought that 5.8S rRNA may be involved in ribosome translocation.
Source: RNAcentral